This 488-nucleotide ribosomal RNA is filed under the name uncultured bacterium. RNAcentral's name for it is "bacterial SSU rRNA". It matches the Rfam family "Bacterial small subunit ribosomal RNA", at positions 791 to 1283 of the family's 1533-position model. The record is from RNAcentral.
UAGUCCACGCUGUAAACUAUGAUCACUUGCUAUUGGCGAUAUACUGUCAGUGGCAUAGCGAAAGUGUUAAGUGAUCCACCUGGGGAGUACGAUCGCAAGGUUGAAACUCAAAGGAAUUGACGGGGGCCCGCACAAGCGGUGGAGCAUGUGGUUUAAUUCGAUGAUACGCGAGGAACCUUACCUGGGCUCUAAUGCGACUGUUACCUGGUGAAAGCCGGGGUUCCUUCGGGACAGGAAGCAAGGUGCUGCAUGGUUGUCGUCAGCUCGUGCCGUGAGGUGUUGGGUUAGGUCCCGCAACGAGCGCAACCCCUAUCACUAGUUGCCAGCAAGUUAAGUUGGGGACUCUAAUGAGACUGCCUGCGCAAGCAGAGAGGAAGGAGGGGACGACGUCAAGUCAUCAUGGCCCUUACGCCUAGGGCUACACACGUGCUACAAUGGUGCAUACAGAGAGUCGCGAUCCGGCAACGGUCAGCCAAUCUCACAAAGUG